RNAcentral lists this transfer RNA (76 nucleotides) under bacterium. RNAcentral describes it as "tRNA-Thr". It matches the Rfam family "tRNA". From Rfam's summary of the family: Transfer RNA (tRNA) molecules are approximately 80 nucleotides in length. Their secondary structure includes four short double-helical elements and three loops (D, anti-codon, and T loops). Further hydrogen bonds mediate the characteristic L-shaped molecular structure. tRNAs have two regions of fundamental functional importance: the anti-codon, which is responsible for specific mRNA codon recognition, and the 3' end, to which the tRNAs corresponding amino acid is attached (by aminoacyl-tRNA synthetases). tRNAs cope with the degeneracy of the genetic code in two manners: having more than one tRNA (with a specific anti-codon) for a particular amino acid; and 'wobble' base-pairing, i.e. permitting non-standard base-pairing at the 3rd anti-codon position. The record is from RNAcentral.
GCCGAGGUAGCUCAGUUGGUAGAGCGGCGGUAUCGUAAACCGCAGGCCGCCGGUUCAAUCCCGGCCCUCGGCUCCA